UUCGGUGGUCUUAGCGAAGAGGUCACACCCGUUCCCAUCCCGAACACGGAAGUUAAGCUCUUUAGCGCCGAUGGUACUGCAUGGGUGACUGUGUGGGAGAGUAGGUCACUGCCGAAU
Molecule: ribosomal RNA, 117 nt
Filed under: Desulfobulbaceae bacterium
Lineage: Bacteria; Pseudomonadati; Thermodesulfobacteriota; Desulfobulbia; Desulfobulbales; Desulfobulbaceae
Source: RNAcentral